UACAGGAUACUCAGAGAUACGGAAGUUUGUGUUUUAUUUGUUAUUUGGUGGAGCUUUAGUUUUUAGAUCAAAUUGCUCUGAGAGGUUGAAGCAGGUAAAGGAGAAGAUGGCUUAUGAAAUGAGGAGCUUAUGAAAUGAGGAGCUUAUGAAAUGAGGAGCUUAUGAAAUGAAGGGUGGGAGAGGAUGAGACCCAAAGUGGAUUUGAAAGAGGGGUGCCAUACCUCUUCCACUGAUCUGUGAGCCCAGGCCAAGGACAGAAGCAAAGGCAAGUAAGUUGUGGAUGGAGUGCAGGAAAUGGAAGGAGUGCCAUCUCACUGCUGCUGUCUUCUCUGUGAGGGCUGAGGCCAUUGCUUAGACGAACAGGCGUGAAGCUGUGGGGAAGAGCAGCAGCAGCUUACAUAGCCAUUGGGGAAAACAGGGGGAAGGUGGAGUCACUGACCUUCUGAGGGAUGAGGUGUUGGCUGCACUCCUGGACGACAGGCAUGACAUUGAGUUCUCUGCAUCCCCACUCUCCAGAUCCCUUUCCCUGGAAGGGCCCACAUACUGAGGAACUGAGGUAUUCUGCAAUAGCUGUUGAGAAAUCCAAAUCAAAGUGGAAUUUCAGCCCAAUCAAACUCCCAGAACCUC
Ictidomys tridecemlineatus (thirteen-lined ground squirrel) is the source of this 627-nucleotide non-coding RNA. NCBI's taxonomy places the organism in Eukaryota, Metazoa, Chordata, Mammalia, Rodentia, Sciuridae. The record is from RefSeq and is a predicted model, not a curated record.